GCCUGGCUGGCUCAGUCGGAGAAGCACAUGACUCUUGAUCUUGGGGUCGUGAGUUCGAGCCCCACGUUGGGUG
RNAcentral lists this transfer RNA (73 nucleotides) under Mustela putorius furo (domestic ferret). It matches the Rfam family "tRNA". From Rfam's summary of the family: Transfer RNA (tRNA) molecules are approximately 80 nucleotides in length. Their secondary structure includes four short double-helical elements and three loops (D, anti-codon, and T loops). The record is from Rfam by way of RNAcentral. Lineage: Eukaryota; Metazoa; Chordata; Mammalia; Carnivora; Mustelidae.